CAGUAGCCGCGGGAAAACGAAGGGGGCUAGCGUUGUUCGGAAUUACUGGGCGUAAAGCGCACGUAGGCGGAUAUUUAAGUCAGGGGUGAAAUCCCGCAGCUCAACUGCGGAACUGCCUUUGAUACUGGGUAUCUUGAGUAUGGAAGAGGUUAGUGGAAUUGCGAGUGUAGAGGUGAAAUUCGUAGAUAUUCGCAGGAACACCAGUGGCGAAGGCGGCUAACUGGUCCAUAACUGACGCUGAGGUGCGAAAGCGUGGGGAGCAAACAGGAUUAGAUACCCCAGUAGUCCCUGUCUCUUAUAC
RNAcentral lists this ribosomal RNA (301 nucleotides) under uncultured bacterium. RNAcentral describes it as "partial 16S ribosomal RNA". It matches the Rfam family "Bacterial small subunit ribosomal RNA", at positions 509 to 807 of the family's 1533-position model. The record is from RNAcentral.